AAGAUCCCUAAUGCGCCUUGAAAUGAGGAACUCAAAAGUCACGUGUAAACAAAAAUUCUCUGUGUAGUGAUAUUUGACACUUUUCUAUGAUAAACAAGUGACUGAGCUUAACCAUUCGAGUUAAUUUAGAAAGUAGGGGAACACAGAAUAAAUGUGUAAAAUCUAUGGAGCUAUUAAAUGUGUUCAAAGUAUUAAAUUUUCAAAGAACUUUUUGUGUUAAAAAUGGGAUUAUUUACCAUGAGGAGCCGCAUCACAAAAGGAUACUCGGGGUUUGCUAAUUUACGGAAAAAGUAAUCUCACUUCGUACCCCGAAAAUUUAACCACAUAUGUCAAAAUGUCUCAGCUUCGAAACGAGCCAUCACACAUAUCCAAGUUAACGAUAUGGACUGAGCAACAGAAGAAAACGUUACCAUUACGGCCUAUGGAAAAACUAAUGCGCAUCUGUACCCAAUUUAGAAGCUAAAUUCCAGAAGUUGUUGGACUGAUUUAUGGAUGAUUUCACCUGUACACCACCGAAAAUGAUGUUCCAGACGUAUCAUUAUUUUCAACCUGAGAUGGCAAACUAGAGGUUUUAAAAAGUCCUGAAUAACUGAAAUGGACAAAAAUACACAGAUUUAUUCAGAAUGUUAUACCGAUGAAGAUCACAUAAAAAUAUUUGGAAAAAUCAGAAGUAUGGAUUUCAAUAUGGGACAAGAUCCCUAAUGCGCCUUGAAAUGAGGAACUCAAAAGUCACGUGUAAACAAAAAUUCUCUGUGUAGUGAUAUUUGACACUUUUCUAUGAUAAACAAGUGACUGAGCUUAACCAUUCGAGUUAAUUUAGAAAGUAGGGGAACACAGAAUAAAUGUGUAAAAUCUAUGGAGCUAUUAAAUGUGUUCAAAGUAUUAAAUUUUCAAAGAACUUUUUGUGUUAAAAAUGGGAUUAUUUACCAUGAGGAGCCGCAUCACAAAAGGAUACUCGGGGUUUGCUAAUUUACGGAAAAAGUAAUCUCACUUCGUACCCCGAAAAUUUAACCACAUAUGUCAAAAUGUCUCAGCUUCGAAACGAGCCAUCACACAUAUCCAAGUUAACGAUAUGGACUGAGCAACAGAAGAAAACGUUACCAUUACGGCCUAUGGAAAAACUAAUGCGCAUCUGUACCCAAUUUAGAAGCUAAAUUCCAGAAGUUGUUGGACUGAUUUAUGGAUGAUUUCACCUGUACACCACCGAAAAUGAUGUUCCAGACGUAUCAUUAUUUUCAACCUGAGAUGGCAAACUAGAGGUUUUAAAAAGUCCUGAAUAACUGAAAUGGACAAAAAUACACAGAUUUAUUCAGAAUGUUAUACCGAUGAAGAUCACAUAAAAAUAUUUGGAAAAAUCAGAAGUAUGGAUUUCAAUAUGGGACAAGAUCCCUAAUGCGCCUUGAAAUGAGGAACUCAAAAGUCACGUGUAAACAAAAAUUCUCUGUGUAGUGAUAUUUGACACUUUUCUAUGAUAAACAAGUGACUGAGCUUAACCAUUCGAGUUAAUUUAGAAAGUAGGGGAACACAGAAUAAAUGUGUAAAAUCUAUGGAGCUAUUAAAUGUGUUCAAAGUAUUAAAUUUUCAAAGAACUUUUUGUGUUAAAAAUGGGAUUAUUUACCAUGAGGAGCCGCAUCACAAAAGGAUACUCGGGGUUUGCUAAUUUACGGAAAAAUUAAUCUCACUUCGUACCCCGAAAAUUUAACCACAUAUGUCAAAAUGUCUCAGCUUCGAAACGAGCCAUCACACAUAUCCAAGUUAACGAUAUGGACUGAGCAACAGAAGAAAACGUUACCAUUACGGCCUAUGGAAAAACUAAUGCGCAUCUGUACC
Molecule: long non-coding RNA, 1830 nt
Organism: Mytilus trossulus (common blue mussel)
Lineage: Eukaryota; Metazoa; Mollusca; Bivalvia; Mytilida; Mytilidae
Exons: 5
Source: RefSeq, a predicted model, not a curated record